This 470-nucleotide ribosomal RNA is filed under the name uncultured bacterium. RNAcentral's name for it is "bacterial SSU rRNA". It matches the Rfam family "Bacterial small subunit ribosomal RNA", at positions 28 to 507 of the family's 1533-position model. The record is from RNAcentral.
GACGAACGCUGGCGGCGUGGAUUAGGCAUGCAAGUCGGACGGUAGGGCUUUAUCGUAAGAUAGAGUUUGAGAGUGGCGAACGGGUGAGUAACACGUAGGAAUCUACCCUUAAGACGGGGACAACCCAGGGAAACUUGGGCUAAUACCGGAUGAGAGUGCGAGAGAUUGCAUUUAAAAGGAUGGCGAAAGUUGUCGCUUAGGGAUGAGCCUGCGGUCUAUUAGUUAGUUGGUGAGGUAAGAGCUCACCAAGGCGAUGAUAGAUAGGCGGCCUUAACGGGUGGUCGCCCACACUGGGAUUGAGAUACGGCCCAGACUCCUACGGGAGGCAGCAGUCGAGAAUAGUCUACAAUGGCCGGAAGGCUGAUAGUGCGACGCCGCGUGAAACGAGGGGAGCCCUUCGGGGUGUAAAGUUCUUUUCUCAGGGAAAAAGGAUGAUGGUACCUGAGGAAUAAGCCCCGGCUAACUACGUG